CAGCACGGCCUGGAUGUUGGGCAG
Molecule: microRNA, 24 nt
Filed under: Equus caballus (horse)
Lineage: Eukaryota; Metazoa; Chordata; Mammalia; Perissodactyla; Equidae
Description: eca-miR-8915
Source: miRBase by way of RNAcentral